AAAUUAAAAAAUUAUAAAAAAAUAUUACAAAAUAUAAAAUCCAUGCAUAAAAAUUCAGGUUAAAAAAGGGGCUCGAUACUGGACUUUUUAAGUCCAACCUAGGUGUCUAAAAAGUUUAUCUAGAUUGAAUCCGGACAUUAACCAUACUAGAACCAAACUCGAAUUUUGUCAUCCCUAGGAAUAGUGAGGAAAGUGUAUCAACUGCAUUCCACUUCAACUAUGUACUUCAAAAGUGAAGACAAAAGAUUCAACAUUUCAUACUUCCUGUUUCACUUAACCUUAUUCUUAUUUUGUCUUGUUAUUUUAUUUAUAUAUUAACACGAAAGGUUAAGGCAUAAGGGGAUGAGUCGUGGCUUUCAGGCAUUCACUAGCCUGGUUGCACUUUUGGGCCAGUGGCCAGUCGUUCCAAAAUGACCAAACCCGGUAGACAAAGGCGGAGUUUAACUGAUUUUUUUCCCCCAGUCAGACUGACAUAGUUAGCAUUUUGGGUCCGAGUUGAAUGCAAGAAAGCGAAGGCACACGGGAUUAGCGUAUGUCUAUUUUUCAGAUUUAGAAAUGACAACGAUGUUUGGGAGGGAUACUGUUUGGGACAAAUGCGUCGAAGGGACCAGGAAUGACGAGCAGAUAUCUGAUGGCGGAGUUCUGCGAACCGGUGUGUUCCGUUAAAGCCUGGCGCGUGGAAGAACAGGAGCAGAAAUAUCAUGCUCGUCCACGAUGUUGUCGUCCGCGAGGCCAAUUCCUAUAAGAGGCAUAAGGCCAUUCUGACUAGAGAUCGAGAGGCGAGGAGACCCGGUCGACGGCAGUUGGCAAGACGUGCUCUCCAGCACGAGAAUCUAGGCACAACAGCCACGCUUUCCCCAGAACCGCGACGUAACACGCAAGAUCUCACAGAACCAUGACAGCCACACUUUCCCCAGAACCGUGGCGUAACACGCAAGGUCUCACAGAGCCAUGGCAGCCACGCUUUCCCCUGAACCGUGGCGUAACACGCUAGAUCCCAUGUUUUGCCCAUAACGCAGCAGUUGGAGUCCCAUACCGUCUCGAAAAGAGCGGAAGACUGAGAUUCAGAGGAAGCCUAUAAAAAGGUAGCCAACGAAGGUAAAAGGGUUGGCAUUCUUGAGAUUAGAAGAGAAAAAAAACCUAAAAAGAAGAGAAAACCACAAAAAACGCCAUAAGACCUGUGGCAAGCUUUUCCCGAACCUUCAUAUCUGACUUGAGCGUCGGAGGGUUUGCGCCGGGAAAACAACCGGCGUACUCUGACUUAUCUGUGUACGCAGGGACCUCUGGAGAAGAAGCCUGGCGAGGAGACCUCCUGGUCGUGACGAAGUUGAUCGAGUAGAGAUCCUGAUCGUAGAACGAGGAGAACCGGAAUCUCGCAUCAACAUUUUGGCGCCGUCUGUGGGGAUCCAGAGCAAAAAGCUUCUGUCGAUAGCAAGAAGAGGGGUGGAGUAAGCGAAAGGCAAUGGAGAUAGGAGGAAGUAGCGCACAAGGGGGUGACAUAAGGCUUAACGAUUCCGUGACGCUGAGGGAGGUAAUCAGCGAAGCACGGGAAAAAGUCAUGUUCGACCGGAUGGAGCGAAUGGAAAAGCAGAUGGAAACCUUGACAACCAUCCUGCAUGAGCUGCGGAACGAGCGAAGGGUAACCCAAGAGGGAAGGGUGAGAGGCGGUGGAGCGGCACCAGGUACCGAUAGUGCGGAGAAAAGUCAAACCGCUGGGAGAUUUGGUGGUGAGAGAGGUAACGUACCUCUGCGGGGAGAAUUUCAUAGAGAAAGAGAGCAGUCCCCGGUAAGACAGACUUGUGACGGGGGCGACGGGGUGGUGAAUGCAGAGGAAACAGAACUGAGGCAACACUUACAUGAUGUAGAGCGAGAGCGGGAUCAAGCUGCAGCACGCGACCCUGGUCGCGCAGGACAGCUGGAGGAGGAAGUGCGAAGGCUAGCGCAAAUAAUUGACGACAUGCAAGGGAGGAACAGAGCCCCUGGUUGGAGGAUAAUGCUGGACGGGGAAUCACCGCUCGCAGCAGAGAUCAUGAGGGCAGUUAUUCCGAGAGAUUUCCGCCUCCCCGACCUCAGAUACUCGGGAAGAACUGACCCGCUGAUGCACAUAGAGCGCUUCAACGACAUAACGGGGGUACAAGAAUUAUCUCCAUCCCAAAGGUGCAGGGUGUUCCCACUAUCCCUUGAGGGACGUGCACGAGAAUGGUACAGGAAACUUCCUCGGGGCAGCAUAAAAACCUUCGAGCAGAUGUGCCAGGAAUUCGCAGAGCAGUUUAGUGGGGCAAUGUCACCGGAAGAUGACAUGAUGGAGCUGAAGAGCAUGAAACAGGGGGAGCAAGAAACCCUUCGGGAAUUCAUCAAGAGGUUUCAUCGGGCUGUCCUCGACUUGGGAGCCUUCAACCACCCUCAGGCGUUAAGGGGACUGAAAGAAGGGGUGAAGAUAGGAAGGCUGUGGUACAAUUUGAGAAGCCCAGCUAUUCAAACGUAUGCAGCCGCAUACGAACAGGCUAAAAGAGACAUCGAGAUUGAGGAGGAGAAGGCUGCACGGAUCAAGACAGACCAGUUGGAAGGAUUAGGGAGGAAAGAGAAGAAAGCAUUACCAACCAAUGGGCCGAUCAGGAGGAGGGACCACCAGAUCUCCGGUAGUGGAGCAGGAGGUAGGGUAAUUGCUUACCAGCCUCAUCAGAGGCCGCCACAGUAUCAGCGCAGCAGGGCGCCACCUCCUCGUUCCCCAGCUAGGGAGCCUUGGAGAAGACAUGAUUCGGCAUCCGGCGAUCUUCAUCAACAUUGCCACGGUAGCAGGACGAGCAGACCAGAAGCACUCCCACCGCCCCCAACUCACAGUGGGGCAAACAGAGAAAGAGCAGUGCAUCUGGUCGACCAGAACCAGGACUAUGGGCGGUACACUCCCUUGAAGAUGCCCCUGGAUGAGGUGUACGAGGCCAUAAAGGGUCGAGGGCUGCUGCACCUCCCUACACCAAUAACAAAGCUACCCAACAGGAGGGAUAGAGGACGUUAUUGUAAGUUCCAUGGCACCCAUGGCCAUACCACAGCAGAGUGUAGAGAUCUCAAGACCCAGGUCGAAGAUUUGGUGAGAAAUCGGUACCUGGACGAGUUUAUGGAUGGGACUUUCCCGAUGGUGGCCACAACAGAUGAAGGGGAGCAGAGUGAUGGAAUCUUGAGACACGAGCCGCCCGCAGCAAGGGUGAUAGCUGGGGGCCCAACGUUGGCCGGAGAUUCGAACAGAUCGAGAAAAAAUUAUGCCAGAUACGCCAUGACCAGUAAAGAGAUACUCUUCAACACCCCAGCAGCCAAACGAGUAAGGGUCAGGCAAGUGCCAAUCAUGUGGACGGAUGAGGAUGAGGAAGGGAUUCUAUACCCCCACGAGGACGCUUUAGUCAUCAAGGCUACGGUCGCUAGCAAGAAGUUUGACCGGAUACUGGUUGAUACGGGGAGCUCAGUUGAUGUGCUAUUUAAGUCAACUUUGGAAGAGAUGGGAAUAGCCGACCGGAAGUUGGAAUACACCAACACCUCCUUGAAGGGGUUCGGAGGAGGGAAGCUGGUCCCUCUGGGCGUGGUCGAACUGCCUAUCACAAUCGGGAGCCCCCCGACAGAAAGAACAAUGAUACUGGACUUCGUCGUAGUGGACGAGGAAGGUCCUUACCAGAUGAUCCUAGGUCGGCCAUUUUUAAGGAUGAGCAAAGCGGUGUUGUCCAACCAUUAUCUGGCUCUGAAGUACCGGGUGAAUGGGGUAGUCGGAGUGGUACGAGGAGACCAGAGGAUCGCAAGAAGCUGCUACUCCUCGGCAGUAAGGGAGGCGAUGCAGAUAACAUCCCUCGAUACCCGAGUGGAAAACAAGACUGGCAGACAAGAACCCGUAGAGGAUCUAGAAACAGUAAGCAUGGGACCAGAGAACCCGGGAAAGACGAUCAGAAUCGGGUCGAGACUUGAGGGAGAGCAAAAGCAGGAGUUGGUGAAAUGCUUACAGGCUCAUGCCGACGUGUUUGCCUGGACACAUGAGGACAUGCCAGGGAUUGACCCAGAGGUAGCAUGUCAUAGGCUGGCAAUAAAGAAAGGUGCUCGGGCAGUAAGGCAGAAGAGGAGGUGCUUCAACCAGGAGAGGUAUGAGGCUGUAAAUGAUGAGGUGGAGAAGCUUCUGAGAGCAGGGUUCAUUCGGGAAGUCAAUUACCCAGAGUGGAUAUCAAAUGUGGUGUUGGUAAAGAAGGCAAACGGCAAGUGGAGGAUGUGUGUGGAUUUCACAGACCUCAAUAAGGCGUGCCCAAAAGACAGCUUCCCUUUUAACAAAGAUCGAUCAGCUAGUAGAUUCAACGGCUGGACAUGGUCUGCUUAGCUUCAUGGACGCAUUCUCGGGAUACAACCAGAUCCCCAUGUACGAGCCGGAUGAGGAGAGCACGGCUUUCAUCACUAACCAAGGUCUGUUCUGUUACAGGGUGAUGCCAUUCGGUCUCAAGAAUGCUGGGGCCACCUAUCAAAGGCUGGUGAAUAAAGUCUUUAAGCCCUUGAUCGGGAAAACCAUGGAGGUGUACGUGGACGACAUGAUCACCAAGUCCAAAAUCCCGAAGGAACAUGUCAGACAUCUCGAGGAGACGUUCGAGCUUUUGAGGAAGUAUAAGAUGAAGCUCAACCCGGAGAAGUGUGCUUUUGGGGUCGAGUCAGGGAAAUUCCUGGGAUUCAUGGUGAGCCAUAGGGGGAUUGAAGCAAAUCCCGAGAAGAUCCAGGCGAUUGUGCAAAUGACGUCUCCUCGAAACCUGAAGGAGAUGCAGAGCCUCACGGGGAGGCUGGCGGCGUUGAGCAGAUUCAUAUCCAAGGCUACAGAUAAGUGUCAGCCAUUCUUUCAAGUGAUAAGGAGGGGAAAGAAAACGGAAUGGACCCCAGAAUGCGAGGAAGCCUUCCGGAACUUGAAGCAUUACUUACAGCAAGCCCCGCUACUGUCCACACCGAGGGAUGGGGACAAGUUGAAUCUGUAUUUGGCGGUAUCUGAUCGGGCCGCCAGUUCCGUUCUAGUGAGAGAGGAAGAAGGAAUUCAGUAUCCGAUAUACUACACCAGCAAGGCCCUGCUCGACGCUGAGACCAGAUACCCAACGAUGGAGAAAUGGGCACUGGCCCUUGUGGUUGCUGCUCGGAAGUUGAGGCCGUACUUUCAAGCAUUCCCGGUCUCGGUAAUAACCAACCAGCCAUUGCGUCAAAUUCUGCACAAGCCAGAUGCCUCUGGUCGGCUCGUCAAAUGGACUGUAGAGCUGAGCGAAUUCGACAUAGACUAUAAACCCCGCGCGGCGAUAAAGGCCCAGGCAAUGGCCGAUUUCGUAGCUGAGUUCGCGGAGCCCGAAGUAUGCUUGGAUCAGCAAGAUGCAGAUAUAGGCAACGACGAAACUCAAGUAUGGCAGAUAUCUGUGGAUGGGUCAUCAGGAGAGCGGGGUUCAGGAGCAGGGAUUGUCCUGGAAGGCCCAGAGGGGGAGGAGAUCUCUUAUGCUGUAAAGUUGGAAUUUGCAGCCACAAAUAACCAGGCAGAAUAUGAAGCCUUGAUAGCAGGGCUGGAAUUGGCUAGGGCCGUGAAAGCAGACAGAGUUAAGAUCAGAACUGAUUCCCAGCUGGUUGCGAAUCAUGUCAGUGAAAGAUUCCAACCAAGAGAGGAGAAGAUGGAACAGUACCUAAGGAUAGUCAGGCAGAUGAUGGGGAAGUUCGAAGCAGUGGAGGUGAUACAAAUCCCCAGGGAGCAGAAUAGUCGAGCAGACAUUUUGGCUAGGAUGGCAGCCGUAGCCGACCCAAAAAUGCCAAAGUCGGUCCCCCUAGAAGUGAAGUCUCGCCCGAGUAUCGAGCAAAAUUUGGGGGUGUUGCGGAUAGAACAAAAAAGCUCGUGGAGGGACCCGAUAGUUUCAUACCUUAGAGACGGGGUCUUACCACCAGAUAAGCUACGAGCCCGGAAGAUUAGAGCUCAGGCCUCGAGAUACACGAUGAUCGAUGGGGUACUGUAUCGGCGAGGAUAUACAUUACCGUUCCUUCGGUGUUUGGACGAUGACGACGCGGAUUACGUGCUGAGGGAAGUACAUGAAGGAAUUUGCGGAAAUCAUUCUGGCGGGAGGUCCCUGGCCCACAAGGUUCUAAGGCAGGGAUAUUUCUGGCCGACGAUGCACCAGGAUGCGCAAAGGAAGACCAGGAGCUGUGCAAGCUGCCAGAGUUUUGCAAAUUUCUCUAACCAACCACCAGAGAAGCUCACCUCCAUGGCCUCCCCUUGGCUAUUCGCUCAAUGGGGAAUUGAUCUGAUCGGCCCAUUGCCAAAGGGACGAGGAGCAGCAACACAUGCAAUAGUUGCUAUAGAUUACUUCACGAAGUGGAUAGAGGUAGAAGCCCUUAGCAGGAUCACAGAGAAGAAAACAACAGACUUCGUGUGGAGAAACCUGGUCUGUCGAUACGGGAUCCCAUAUGCCUUGGUAACGGAUAAUGGCAGGCAGUUCGAUAAUCACAGCUUCAGGGAUUUCUGCCAGAACCUCGGGAUAGAGCUGAAGUAUUGCUCGCCUGCUCACCCUCAAUCGAAUGGACAAGUAGAAGCAGCCAACAAGACAGUCAAGAGGCUUCUGAAAACCAGGCUCGGAGCAAAAAAGGGUGCGUGGGUUGACGAGCUGUCAGGUGUGCUAUGGGCAUACAGAACAACCCACAAAACCGCAACUGGGGAGACACCGUUCGCUUUGGCUUUUGGACAUGAAGCGGUCGUACCGGCUGAGGUAGGAACGACCACACACCGGACAGAUUAUUUCAAUGAACAGGAGAACGACGAGCAGAUAUGUUUGAAUCUUGAUCUGCUAAUGGAGAGGAGGGAACAAGCAGCCGAGCGAUCAGUCACUUACCAGCAGAGGGUGGCUCGGUAUUAUAACCAGAAGGUGAACAUACGGCAAUUCAGGGUCGGAGACUGGGUACUGAGAAGAGUGAAUCAGAGCACCAAAGAUUCGACUCAAGGAGUGCUGGGACCGAAUUGGGAAGGGCCGUAUAGAGUCAAGCAGAUAGCGGGGCCCGGGGCUUACAAGCUGGUCCGCGCGGACGGCCACGAAGUGAAACGCCCAUGGAACGCAGCACACCUCCGAAAAUACUUCCAGUAAGACUUGCUCACAUUUUAAAGCAAUUUCUGCUCAUGCUGUUUAUCUUUUAUUUUUAUGUUUUAUGUCCGAACAAUUUCAUGUAAGUCAAAUCCUGCCAUUAAUGGAACGUCGACGAAUUUCAUUCGCUUGAAACCGAAAAAAAUCCUAAGGCAUGCAAAGGCUCGCAAAGUCUCAGAGCCUGUCUUAUGGCGAGACAGAAGCCAAGCAUGCCGGGAUCUGCUCGGCCACGAGAAGGCAGGCAUGCCGGGAUCUGCUCGGCCACGAGAAGGCAGCAGAAUCCAAAUCGUUUAAAGAAAAUCCUAAGGCAUGCAAAGGCUCGCAAAGUCUCAGAGCCUGUCUUAUGGCGAGACAGAAGCCAAGCAUGCCGGGAUCUGCUCGGCCACGAGAAGGCAGCAGAAUCCAAAUCGUUUAAAGAAAAUCCUAAGGCAUGCAAAGGCUCGCAAAGUCUCAGAGCCUGUCUUAUGGCGAGACAGAAGCCAAGCAUGCCGGGAUCUGCUCGGCCACGAGAAGGCAGCAGAAUCCAAAUCGUUUAAAGAAAAUCCUAAGGCAUGCAAAGGCUCGCCAAGUCUCAGAGCCUGUCUUAUGGCGAGACAGAAGCCAAGCAUGCCAGGAUCUGCUCGACCACGAGAUGGCAGCAGAAUCCAAAUCGUUUAAAGAAAAUCCUAAGGCAUGCAAAGGCUCGCAAAGUCUCAGAGCCUGUCUUAUGGCGAGACAGAUAAAAACCAUGAGCCAAGCCGGAAUCCGCUCGUCUAGACAGAGACAAGCAGAUUCUCAAACAAAAAUUAACUCAUAAUUACAACACAAGAAAGUAAUCAAAAAAAAUAUAUAUAUAUCCUUAUUAAUUGGUUAAUGAUUAACAGAGGGGAUAAUCUUCAUGAACAUUAUCCGUUACAACAAAAGAAAUAUAUCAAAAAGACGGCGGAUCUGUGAGCCGAGCAGCAUCGGUUGGCUGGACCUCCUCAGGUGCGAGGGGGGUAUCGCCAGUUGCGUCCGGGGGGUGCUCGCCCCGCCAACCUCAGCAGGGACUCCACGAGGAGGAGAGUUUUCCUCCUCAAUCACGAUCGGCUCUACCCCCUCGGCAUCUUCCUUGGCCGCCUCCUCAUCCAUAUGCCGAGCAACGCCAGCUGCAAGGUCAUCCAUCUUGAGGUCAGGGUGUUGCUUCCCGAGGACGGCCAUGAUGCAACGAUAGGAAUGCCGGAGUCCCUGGUCGUACUGGUUGUCGGCCUCCCUCUCCAAGUUCUCGACCUGAGCUCGGUGGGAGUCACGGAGAGACUCGAGCUGAGCCUCAUACAUAGCCUUCUGCCUUUGCAAAUCCUCCUUGACCUUGGUAAACUCCUCCUCGAGGGUAAUGGCUUUUGCUUGAGCAAGUGAUUCUUGCUCUAUCAGCUUCAGAUUCUCGAGAUUCAGCUCCCCUGCUUUCUUCUCGGCAACGUCAGCUCUGUUCGUCGCCGAUUGGAUAUCCUCCUUCAUCUUCCGGUCGUAGCGGCCAACCUUAGCCUUGUAAUAGGUGGUCAUACAGCUGAGGUGGAAAGCGCUAUGCUGCAUGGCCCCCACCAGCUCACCCAAGGUGCGGCCGUCAAAGGCCUCCAGGUCCCUCUUGCUCACGGAUUUAGUUAACUCAUUGAGGUAAGGGACCAGAUGUUCUGCUCGGCUGUCCGGUAAGCGAGGUCGAGGCCCGACAGGAGGAGAAGAGGUAGCAGGAUCUGUGGCUACUCCACUAGCUUCCCCGACUUCUACAGGAGCCGGAGGUAAAAUCUUCAAGGCUGGGGCCUGCUGCACGAUGUUGGCCCGCUUCGCGGUAGGGGCAUCCUUACUCUCGUCCCUCUUCGUGGUCGGAGGUCGAGAACGUUUUCGGGUCAGAGCCCCAAUCACAGCGUCCUCCAUCCUAUGGCCAGGAAGUAUCAAACGAGACUCGAGCAAGUUGUAUGUGGAUAUCAGUUCCCGGCUCGAGCAGGAAUUGACUAGCACAGCCUCAACCCGUUUGAGCGGGCCAGGUCGGAGUGGGAAAUGAACGCCCCAAGAAACUACAACAUAAACAGACACUUGGUUAGAAACAAGCCAAUGAAACAAGAACAAUUAUGGAUACAAGGCAUCUGGAGCGAGCAGGCAACCUGGGACCGUGAAACGGGGUGGGACCCGAUAAUCCUUCCCGUCCACUUGUGCGACCUGACCCCAAGGACCCCCAGCAAAAAAGAACUUUCUCUUCCAAUUCCCACCACCACCAGUAGGGAGGUCGGUUAUAGGUUUCCUGCUCUUGGUGCUAGAUUGGAAGUAGUACCAGCCGGCAUCUUUGGGGCUGCUCUUUAGCUGGUACAGGUGCUUCACCUCAUCAACCGUGGGCUCGCUUUGGCAACAUCUGUCCCACAAUAUGAACAGACCAGAGAGCACUCUCCACCCGUUGGGAUUCAGCUGACCAGGAGCUAAAUUUAGCCCGUUAAGUAUCCGGGCAAAGUAAGGUUGCAAGGGACACCUCAGCCCGUACUUAAAGCUGUCCAGAUACAGGGUAACAUAUCCCCUAGGAGGCCGGCUGGGAGCAUCCUUCUUUCCCGGGACCUUAAGAAGUAUCUCGCCAGGAAUGCUAUACCUCAGCCGGAGGUCCUCGAGCUCAUCAAACGUGGUCGUGCACGUCAUGUAAUCAAUAGCAUAAUCCCGCGAUAGGGCUCUACCUCCUAUUGUACUCCUCCCCUCUCGUCGCGGCGUCCCCGAUGGGGACGCCUCACCAGAAUCAUCUCCUCGACCCUCACUCAAAGUAUCCUCGGAGUCAGAAGAUCCGUCCUCACCAUUACUCCCGCUUGUAGAGGUCGUUUGGGGAGACAUGCUCCUAGCACUAGUCCUGACACUAGGCCUAACAGGCUCUAAGGGGACCUCGGGGUCAAAGGCGGGAUUGGUGAGCAGACUAGGCAGGAAGUCCAACUCGUCGUCAUCAACCUCAACGACCUUCUCUUUGCCUUUCGACAUUCCCUAAACUCUAACCACAACACCUCCAACUACUACCCAAACGAAAGAAAAAAAAGAAGUUAUCUGCAAACUAUUCGAGACCGAGGAGAGAGAGGUAAUACCUGAAGUACCGCUUCAAUCGGAGAAAGGCAAGGGGGGGGGCUUCGUGCCGGAACUUCUUUGCCGGAGAAACAGAGACGUAGACGGAGACAGAGUGAAUGGUGAAUAUGCCGUUCGAGAGGAUUUGGCUUUCCAAAUGAGGACGGACUCUUGGGUUGCCAGCAUAUAAUUGCGCCGAAUCCCGAGGAUCUCGUAACCGUCGGUUUGAAAUUCAAAUGGAGGGGGGGAUUUCUGCCACGUCACCUCGUCCGCAAUUAAAUGCGACAUGACUCCUGGCAGCCUUUUCCAAACCCACGCGAGCGAGUACUAUCGAGUUUCUACUGCUGGUCCACUACAUUACCCAACACCAGAAACUGGGGGACCGGUGUUUGGGAGGGAUACUGUUUGGGACAAAUGCGUCGAAGGGACCAGGAAUGACGAGCUGAUAUCUGAUGGCGGAGUUCUGCGAACCGGUGUGUUCCGUUAAAGCCUGGCGCGUGGAAGAACAGGAGCAGAAAUAUCCUGCUCGUCCACGAUGUUGUCGUCCGCGAGGCCAAUUCCUAUAAGAGGCAUAAGGCCAUUCCGGCUAGAGAUCGAGAGGCGAGGAGACCCGGUCGACGGCAGUUGGCAAGACGUGCUCUCCAGCACGAGAAUCUAGGCACAACAGCCACGCUUUCCCCAGAACCGCGACGUAACACGCAAGAUCUCACAGAACCAUGACAGCCACACUUUCCCCAGAACCGUGGCGUAACACGCAAGGUCUCACAGAGCCAUGGCAGCCACGCUUUCCCCUGAACCGUGGCGUAACACGCUAGAUCCCAUGUUUUGCCCAUAACGCAGCAGUUGGAGUCCCAUACCGUCUCGAAAAGAGCGGAAGACUGAGAUUCAGAGGAAGCCUAUAAAAAUGUAGCCAACGAAGGUAAAAGGGUUGGCAUUCUUGAGAUUAGAAGAGAAAAAAAACCUAAAAAGAAGAGAAAACCACAAAAAACGCCAUAAGACCUGUGGCAAGCUUUUCCCGAACCUUCAUAUCUGACUUGAGCGUCGGAGGGUUUGCGCCGGGAAAACAACCGGCGUACUCUGACUUAUCUGUGUACGCAGGGACCUCUGGAGAAGAAGCCUGGCGAGGAGACCUCCUGGUCGUGACGAAGUUGAUCGAGCAGAGAUCCUGAUCGUAGAACGAGGAGAACCGGAAUCUCGCAUCAACAAACGAUAAAUCAUUUUUAUUUUGUGUGUUUAUUUUUAUAAAAUUAAUUGUGAAAUGAGAAUGAGAGUGGUAGGUCCCAUUCAAUUGAAGAAUGAAGAACGGAAAUUCUUUUUUAUGAGAGA
Molecule: long non-coding RNA, 11471 nt
Filed under: Citrus x clementina
Lineage: Eukaryota; Viridiplantae; Streptophyta; Magnoliopsida; Sapindales; Rutaceae
Description: Citrus clementina (C. clementina) long non-coding RNA (CCLE_LNC001336)
Source: RNAcentral